Mesocricetus auratus (golden hamster) is the source of this 1028-nucleotide long non-coding RNA. RefSeq lists it as uncharacterized. NCBI's taxonomy places the organism in Eukaryota, Metazoa, Chordata, Mammalia, Rodentia, Cricetidae. The record is from RefSeq and is a predicted model, not a curated record. The transcript is spliced from 2 exons.
GUGAAAGGAAAUGAGAAAGAAAUCAAUCAGUGGUGGGGUUGGGUUUAAGCCUACAGUUUAUUGGGACUUGUCAGUCUUUCUGUAGAGGGAGGAGUCUGAUGCUGGGGAUUGCUGUUCUUUGGGAGUUCUAUAUUUUAUGUCUUCACUCUGUCUAAGUUUGUUGUGGAAUUAGUUUCUUCAUUUCCCAGCUGCAUCUAACUUUUGUUUUCAAUGUAAACACUUAGCCUAAUGUAUCAGGAAUGAAUUUUCCUUAGACAUGGUGCAUAGUAGAAACUGUGCUGGGUUCUAGAAAAUUCUUUUCUGGUCUCUAAAGCCUUUAGGUCUGGCCCUUAGUAGGAUCCCAUCUGUUUUCAGGUGAGAGUAGAAGUGUCAGCACCUGUAGGUAGAAAAGAAACUACAGAAGGAGGAGGAAGAGGAGGAGAAGGAGGAGGAGACAUAUUUUCCAGGGCCCAAUGGAUUAUUGAUCAUAAGAUGGAAACCUCAACUUGGCAUGGCUAAAGCCCUCGAUUUUCUUCAUGGUCAUGUUCUUAAUGUUGAACAAAAAUUCAAGAUCGGUACAUGGGGAAUAAGAUGAAGCCAAGACACACGGAAGAAAUCUUGAUUCAUUUUUUUUAACUGAAGAUACUCUUGUGCAUUUAUGGACUCAUUUUUAAUAAAAAAGGAAACAAAACAAUCAUGGUGUUGUUAGUGUUAAAAGACAGUAUAUAAUCUAAAGGCCAGAUUCAACUCUCCCUUCUUCUAGCUGAGGGAAAAUCCUCCUUCAAAACAGAAUAAUUAGAAGGAAAAAAAAAGAACUUUGAUAAAUUAAAGAACCAUCUACCAGUUAAACUGACACUCCAUAUGCAGAGGGCCCAAUUUCCAUGCGUGUUAUAAAAAAUGUGUUAAAUCAACUAACAUUGAUAUAACUUCAAGCAAUUAGGAGCAUGCUAAUAACGAUAUGAGUCUUCAGCUGUAAAUAAUUGUGCUGCCCCAAGGCUAUGCUUUAAUUCUUGGCUUGCUGUAUCUAUAAACAAUAAUCACACUGCAAA